GCUUGUCUCAAAGAUUAAGCCAUGCAUGUGUUAGUAUAAACGCCUUUAUACUGUGAAACUGCGAACGGCUCAUUAUAUCAGUUAUAGUUUAUUUGAUACUUUUCGACUAUUGGAUAACCGUAGUAAUUCUAGAGCUAAUACAUGCGUCAAGACCUGACUUUUCGGAAGGGUUGUGUUUAUUAGAUAAAAAGCCAAUCCAUGCUCUGCAUGGUAUUGUGGUGACUCAUAAUAACCGAUCGAAUCGCAUGGCGUAAGCCGGCGAUAAAUCAUUCAAGUUUCUGACCUAUCAGCUUCCGACGGUAGGGUAUUGGCCUACCGUGGCUAUGACGGGUAACGGGGAAUUAGGGUUCGAUUCCGGAGAGGGAGCCUGAGAAACGGCUACCACAUCUAAGGAAGGCAGCAGG
Molecule: ribosomal RNA, 404 nt
Filed under: uncultured Colpodellidae
Lineage: Eukaryota; Colpodellaceae
Description: partial small subunit ribosomal RNA
Rfam family: Eukaryotic small subunit ribosomal RNA
Source: RNAcentral